RNAcentral lists this ribosomal RNA (446 nucleotides) under uncultured bacterium. Its description in RNAcentral is "partial 16S ribosomal RNA". It matches the Rfam family "Bacterial small subunit ribosomal RNA", at positions 338 to 795 of the family's 1533-position model. The record is from RNAcentral.
CCUACGGGUGACAGCAGUCGAGAAUCUUUCACAAUGGGGUAAACCCUGAUGCUGCGACGCCGCGUGGGGGAAUGAAGGUCUUCGGGUUGUAAACCCCUUUCAUGUGGGAGCAAAUUAAAACGAUAGUACCACAAGAGGAAGAGACUGCUAACUCUGUGCCAGCAGCCUCGGUAAUACAGGGGGCUGAAGCGGUGUGCGUGAGCACGGGGCGUAAAGGGUGCGUGGGUCGUAUCGUAAGUCGUGUGUGAAAGGCGCGGGCUCAACCCGCGGACGGCACAUGAUACUGCGAGACUAGAGUAAUGGAGGGGGAAUCGGAAUUCGUGGUGUAGCAGUGAAAUGCGUAGAUAUCGAGAGGAGCACUCGUGGCGAAGGCGGGUUCCUGGACAUCAACUGACGCUGAGGCACGAAGGCCAGGGGAGCGAACGGGAUUAGAUACUCCAGUAGUC